Molecule: non-coding RNA, 20 nt
Filed under: Arabidopsis thaliana (thale cress)
Lineage: Eukaryota; Viridiplantae; Streptophyta; Magnoliopsida; Brassicales; Brassicaceae
Source: RNAcentral
UAUAGGUGGUGUUGCGGCUG